UACGUAGGGUGCGAGCGUUAUUCGGAAUUACUGGGCGUAAAGUGUGCGCAGGUGGCUUCGCAAGUCGGGUGUGAAAUCCCCGGGCUUAACCUGGGAAUUGCACUCGAAACUACGGAGCUGGAGUAUGGCAGAGGGAGGUGGAAUUCCACGUGUAGCGGUGAAAUGCGUAGAGAUGUGGAGGAACACCGAUGGCGAAGGCAGCCUCCUGGGCAAAUACUGACACUCAUGCACGAAAGCGUGGGGAGCAAACAGG
Molecule: ribosomal RNA, 253 nt
Filed under: uncultured bacterium
Lineage: Bacteria
Description: partial 16S ribosomal RNA
Rfam family: Bacterial small subunit ribosomal RNA
Source: RNAcentral